ACCAAGCCGACGAUCUGUAGCUGGUCUGAGAGGACGACCAGCCACACUGGGACUGAGACACGGCCCAGACUCCUACGGGAGGCAGCAGUGGGGAAUUUUGGACAAUGGGCGAAAGCCUGAUCCAGCCAUGCCGCGUGCAGGAUGAAGGCCUUCGGGUUGUAAACUGCUUUUGUACGGAACGAAAAGACUCUGGUUAAUACCUGGGGUCCAUGACGGUACCGUAAGAAUAAGCACCGGCUAACUACGUGCCAGCAGCCGCGGUAAUACGUAGGGUGCAAGCGUUAAUCGGAAUUACUGGGCGUAAAGCGUGCGCAGGCGGUUAUAUAAGACAGAUGUGAAGUCCCCGGGCUCAACCUGGGAACUGCAUUUGUGACUGUAUAGCUAGAGUACGGUAGAGGGGGAUG
This 404-nucleotide ribosomal RNA is filed under the name uncultured bacterium. RNAcentral's name for it is "bacterial SSU rRNA". It matches the Rfam family "Bacterial small subunit ribosomal RNA", at positions 267 to 663 of the family's 1533-position model. The record is from RNAcentral.